RNAcentral lists this ribosomal RNA (439 nucleotides) under uncultured bacterium. Its description in RNAcentral is "partial 16S ribosomal RNA". It matches the Rfam family "Bacterial small subunit ribosomal RNA", at positions 339 to 795 of the family's 1533-position model. The record is from RNAcentral.
CUACGGGGUGCAGCAGUGAGGAAUAUUGCGCAAUGAGCGAAAGCUAGACGCAGCAACGCCGCGUGAGCGAAGAAGGCCUUCGGGUUGUAAAGCUCUUUUCUGUGUGAAGAGAAGGACGGUAGCACAGGAAUAAGUGUCGGCUAACUACGUGCCAGCAGCCGCGGUAAAACGUAGGACGCAAGCGUUAUCCGGAUUUACUGGGCGUAAAGCGCGUGCAGGCGGUCAGUUAAGUUAUGCGUGCAAGCUCCCGGCUCAACCGGGAGAGGUCGUAUAAAACUGAUUGACUUGAAGGCAGCAGAGGCGUGUGGAAUUCCAGGUGUAGUGGUGAAAUGCGUAGAUAUCUGGAAGAACACCAGUGGCGAAGGCGACACGCUGGGCUGUACUUGACGCUAAGACGCGAAAGCGUGGGUAGCGAACGGGAUUAGAUACCCGCGUAGUC